RNAcentral lists this long non-coding RNA (2730 nucleotides) under Oncorhynchus mykiss (rainbow trout). Its description in RNAcentral is "lncRNA (ENSOMYG00000050909.1)". The record is from RNAcentral. Lineage: Eukaryota; Metazoa; Chordata; Actinopteri; Salmoniformes; Salmonidae.
UACCUUUAAGUCUUUAUUGAAGACUCGUCUCUUCAGUGGGUCCAUAUGGAGGUGUUCUAUAACUAUUAUAGAACAUAUGAAAUGGUUCUAGAACUAUUAUAGACCAAUCUCUACCUUUAAGUCUUUAUUGAAGACUCGUCUCUUCAGUGGGUCCAUAUGGAGGUGUUCUAGAACUAUUAUAGACAAUAUCGGAACAUAAUUUUGGAUAUUGUAGGCUGUACCUGCACCGUCAUCUUGUUUUGUAUACUUGUAUUUAUCAGACUGUUUAUCUUCCUGAAUAUAAUAGCAGGAAAACACCUCCAUGUGGUCUAUAAUAGUUCUAGAACACCUCCAUAUGGUCUAUAAUAGUUCUAGAACACCUCCAUAUGGUCUAUAAUAGUUCUAGAACACCUCCAUAUGGUCUAUAAUAGUUCUAGAACACCUCCAUAUGGUCUAUAAUAGUUCUAGAACACCUCCAUAUGGUCUAUAAUAGUUCUAGAACACCUCCAUGUGGUCUAUAAUAGUUCUAGAACACCUCCAUAUUGUCUAUAAUAGUUAUAUAACACCUACAUAUGGUCUAUAAUAGUUCUAGAACACCUCCAUAUGGUCUAUAAUAGUUCUAGAACACCUCCAUAUUGUCUAUAAUAGUUAUAUAACACCUACAUAUGGUCUAUAAUAGUUCUAGAACACCUCCAUAUGGUCUAUAAUAGUUCUAGAACACCUCCAUGUGGUCUAUAAUAGUUCUAGAACACCUCCAUAUUGUCUAUAAUAGUUAUAUAACACCUACAUAUGGUCUAUAAUAGUUCUAGAACACCUCCAUAUGGUCUAUAAUAGUUCUAGAACACCUCCAUGUGGUCUAUAAUAGUUCUAGAACACCUCCAUAUUGUCUAUAAUAGUUAUAUAACACCUACAUAUGGUCUAUAAUAGUUCUAGAACACCUCCAUAUUGUCUAUAAUAGUUCUAGAACACCUCCAUGUGGUCUUUAAUAGUUCUAGAACACCUCCAUAUUGUCUAUAAUAGUUAUAUAACACCUACAUAUGGUCUAUAAUAGUUCUAGAACACCUCCAUGUGGUCUAUAAUAGUUCUAGAACACCUCCAUAUUGUCUAUAAUAGUUAUAUAACACCUACAUAUGGUCUAUAAUAGUUCUAGAACACCUCCAUGUGGUCUAUAAUAGUUCUAGAACACCUCCAUAUUGUCUAUAAUAGUUAUAUAACACCUACAUAUGGUCUAUAAUAGUUCUAGAACACCUCCAUGUGGUCUAUAAUAGUUCUAGAACACCUCCAUGUUGUCUAUAAUAGUUCUAGAACACCUCCAUAUGGUCUAUAAUAGUUCUAGAACACCUCCAUGUGGUCUAUAAUAGUUCUAGAACACCUCCAUAUUGUCUAUAAUAGUUAUAUAACACCUACAUAUGGUCUAUAAUAGUUCUAGAACACCUCCAUGUGGUCUAUAAUAGUUCUAGAACACCUCCAUAUUGUCUAUAAUAGUUAUAUAACACCUACAUAUGGUCUAUAAUAGUUCUAGAACACCUCCAUGUGGUCUAUAAUAGUUCUAGAACACCUCCAUAUUGUCUAUAAUAGUUAUAUAACACCUACAUAUGGUCUAUAAUAGUUCUAUAACACCUACAUAUGGUCUAUAAUAGUUCUAGAACACCUCCAUGUGGUCUAUAAUAGUUCUAGAACACCUCCAUGUGGUCUAUAAUAGUUCUAGAACACCUCCAUAUGGUCUAUAAUAGUUCUAGAACACCUCCAUAUGGUCUAUAAUAGUUCUAGAACACCUCCAUAUGGUCUAUAAUAGUUAUAGAACACCUCCAUAUUGUCUAUAAUAGUUCUAGAACACCUCCAUAUGGUCUAUAAUAGUUCUAGAACACCUCCAUAUGGUCUAUAAUAGUUCUAGAACACCUCCAUAUGGUCUAUAAUAGUUCUAGAACACCUCCAUAUGGUCUAUAAUAGUUCUAGAACACUUCCAUAUUGUCUAUAAUAGUUCUAGAACACCUCCAUAUGGUCUAUAAUAGUUCUAGAACACCUCCAUGUUGUCUAUAAUAGUUCUAGAACACCUCCAUAUGGUCUAUAAUAGUUCUAGAACACCUCCAUGUGGUCUAUAAUAGUUCUAGAACACCUCCAUAUUGUCUAUAAUAGUUCUAGAACACCUCCAUAUGGUCUAUAAUAGUUCUAGAACACUUCCAUAUGGUCUAUAAUAGUUCUAGAACACCUCCAUAUGGUCUAUAAUAGUUCUAGAACACUUCCAUAUUGUCUAUAAUAGUUCUAGAACACCUCCAUAUGGUCUAUAAUAGUUCUAGAACACUUCCAUAUUGUCUAUAAUAGUUCUAGAACACCUCCAUAUGGUCUAUAAUAGUUCUAGAACACCUCCAUAUGGUCUAUAAUAGUUCUAGAACACCUCCAUAUGGUCUAUAAUAGUUCUAGAACACUUCCAUAUUGUCUAUAAUAGUUCUAGAACACCUCCAUGUGGUCUAUAAUAGUUCUAGAACACCUCCAUAUGGUCUAUAAUAGUUCUAGAACACCUCCAUAUGGUCUAUAAUAGUUCUAGAACACCUCCAUAUGGUCUAUAAUAGUUCUAGAACACCUCCAUAUGGUCUAUAAUAGUUCUAGAACACCUCCAUAUUGUCUAUAAUAGUUCUAGAACGCCUCCAUAUUGUCUAUAAUAGUUCUAGAACACCUCCAUAUUGUCUAUAAUAGUUCUAGAACACUAACCUUGUGUUGUCUUUUUCUUCUGCAGUAUCCACAUCUCGGUGC